UACGUAGGGGGCAAGCGUUAUCCGGAAUUAUUGGGCGUAAAGAGUGCGUAGGUGGUUACCUAAGCGCAAGGUUUAAUCUUGAGGCUCAACCUCAUUUUGCCUUGCGAACUGGGCUACUUGAGUGUUGGAGAGGAAAGCAGAAUUCCUAGUGUAGCGGUGAAAUGCGUAGAUAUUAGGAGGAACACCAGUGGCGAAGGCGGCUUUCUGGACAGUAACUGACGCUGAGGCGCGAAAGCGUGGGGAGCAAACAGGAUUAGAUACCCCUGUAGUCCCU
Molecule: ribosomal RNA, 274 nt
Filed under: uncultured prokaryote
Description: partial 16S ribosomal RNA
Rfam family: Bacterial small subunit ribosomal RNA
Source: RNAcentral